CUGCUGCCUUCCGUAGGAGUUUGGACCGUGUCUCAGUUCCAAUAUGGGGGACCUUCCUCUCAGAACCCCUACUGAUCGUCGCCCCGGUGGGCCGUUACCCCGCCGGCAAGCUAAUCAGACGCAUCCCCAUCCUUUACCGGCCGAAGCCUUUGGUCAUGAAAAUAUGCAUCAACAUGACAACAUACGGUAUUAAUCCGCCUUUCGACGGGCUGUCCCAUAGUAAAGGGCAGGUUGGAUACGCGUUACUCACCCGUGCGCCGGUCGCCA
Molecule: ribosomal RNA, 267 nt
Filed under: uncultured bacterium
Lineage: Bacteria
Description: partial 16S ribosomal RNA
Source: RNAcentral